Homo sapiens (human) is the source of this 1971-nucleotide long non-coding RNA. Ensembl annotates it as Alu-mediated CDKN1A/p21 transcriptional regulator. Its record names the gene APTR. The record is from Ensembl. NCBI's taxonomy places the organism in Eukaryota, Metazoa, Chordata, Mammalia, Primates, Hominidae.
UCUUCGGAGGUCAGAGCUCGGCGGGGUGCGGCUAGUGGCGGAGCGCGCUGCGAGGGGAGGGCUUUCCACUGUCGCUGGCGUGAACUCGCGUGCCCGGCUUCACCAGGUACUGCCUUCUAACGAGCUGGCCAUUUCCACAUGUCAGAUAGGACCAACUUGCCUUUUAACUACCCGUGUGAUACUUAAACACUGUUGCCGGUAUCACAGCUUUUCUUCAAAACAGGAAGCAACGAGAAUGAGGGCAUUCCAGUAGCAGGAGACAGCAUGCAUAGAGAUGCUGAUGAAGAAAGAGCCUAGCGCACGUGGGAAACUGCAAAAGUUCAGACUGGUUGGAAUGCUGGAAAUGUUGUGAAUGACAGGAGAUGAGGCUGGCGAGAAAACAGAGGUAUCACCAGUCUGUGGGUACAAAAGGAGAGUAACAUGAACGAUUCAAAUUCCACUGGCUCUUGUUCCCAUGGAUUCACAGAAGUUCAGCCCCAUUUCAAAACUUCACAUUUGCUUCUGGGAAGCCCAUUCUGGAAAGUUUCUCUGUGGCCCUCUCCAGAAGGCAGCGCGACUUCCACCCAGCAACACAAGUCUCUGCAGCACCUGCCCCAGCAGCGCCAGCUGAGCCCCGGAAGCUGGGAAGGCUUAAGCUGACUCUUCUGCUGCACAUAGCAAAAAAUGGUCAUUUCUGUAGUUGCAGCUCCAGAUCUACAAUAAUCAAUCUAUAUCCAUAUUUUAUGGGGUUUUUUUGAGACAAAGUCUUGCUCUGUUACUCAGGCUGGAGUGCAGUGGCAUUAUCAUCAUUCACUUGUAGCCUUGACCUCCCUGGCUCAGGUGAUCCUGUCACCUCAGCCUUCCAAGUAGCUGAGACCACAGGCAUGCACCACUAAGCCUGGCUAAUUUUUCAAUUUUUAUUUUUCGUAGAGACAGGGUCUCCCUGGGUUGCCCAAACUGGUCUUGAAUUCCUGGGCUCAAGCAAUCCUCCUGUCCCGGCACCCCGAAGUGUUGGGACUACAGGCAUGAGCCACUGUGCACAGCCCUUUUUGUUUUUGUUUUUGUUUUUUUUUAAAGGUAAUUUCCCAGUGGAAUCCUCGAGAUUUCUUCACGUUUUUGGAAAAAUGAGUUACAUUUUAGAUUGUUUUCCUUUUUGGAAUUUAAUGGUAUACAUUAUAUUACAUAGCUAUGUUGAGCUCUAUUUCUAUUACACUAAAAAGUAGGCUAAUUGUCUUAACUUUCAUCAGUAAUGACAUUAAAUGUGUGAAGAUUAUACUUGGAAUAAAGCACUUGGAUUCAUUCAUUUCUUCAGUAAAUAUUUAUUGAGCACUAGUAUGUUCCAACGAGUGUCUGUCUACAUUCUGGGGACAAGUGAUAACUAAAUCCCUGUCCUCGUGGAGAGUUAACAAUCAACAAACUAACAAACAUUUAAUUUAUGUCAUCAACUCAUUUCCACAAAUAUAACAACAUCUUGACUUCAAGUUUCCUGAGUUUCUGGUCUAAAGAAUUGCUACCUUCAAGAGCUCAAAUCAUUUGUUGGGGAGAGAGGCCUGUGAUAUAUUUUCUCCUUUACAAUGAAAGUAGCUGUAAAAAGAGGAAGAGAAAUUCUGAGGGUAAAGAUAAAAAAUGUUGAAAUCUUCUUUCUGGAUUUCAGAUUGAGUCUCUUGCCCUAAUUGAUGCAAUUUACACUCCAUGCAUCUCCUUCCCUGGACCUUCUCCAGUUCUUGGGGACUACAGAUGAACUUACUUUUAAUGCAUUUUAUGGCAUUUGGAGGCCCUCCAGUGGACAAAUACUAUACCUGAAAAAAAUCCUUUUGCUGUGCUAAAGUGUUCAGGUGUGAAGUGUACUCAUGUUUGCAAAUCACUUUGAAAUAUAUAAACAAAAAUGAAUUAAUGGAUGAAUAGAGUGAUGCAUAGAUCAUUAGACAUGUGAUAAAAAUAACUGUUAAUUGUAGAAUCUAGAUGAUGAGUAUAUUAUAUGAUAUGGCCCAC